Molecule: ribosomal RNA, 497 nt
Filed under: uncultured bacterium
Lineage: Bacteria
Description: partial 16S ribosomal RNA
Rfam family: Bacterial small subunit ribosomal RNA
Source: RNAcentral
GAUGAACGCUGGCGGCGUGCCUAAUACAUGCAAGUCGAGCGAACGGACGAGAAGCUUGCUUUUCUGAUGUUAGCGGCGGACGGGUGAGUAACACGUGGAUAACCUACCUAUAAGACUGGGAUAACUUCGGGAAUCCGGAGCUAAUACCGGAUAAUAUUUUGAACCGCAUGGUUCAAAAGUGAAAGACGGUCUUGCUGUCACUUAUAGAUGGAUCCGCGCUGCAUUAGCUAGUUGGUAAGGUAACGGCUUACCAAGGCAACGAUGCAUAGCCGACCUGAGAGGGUGAUCGGCCACACUGGAACUGAGACACGGUCCAGACUCCUACGGGAGGCAGCAGUAGGGAAUCUUCCGCAAUGGGCGAAAGCCUGACGGAGCAACGCCGCGUGAGUGAUGAAGGUCUUCGGAUCGUAAAACUCUGUUAUUAGGGAAGAACAUAUGUGUAAGUAACUGUGCACAUCUUGACGGUACCUAAUCAGAAAGCCACGGCUAACUACGUG